ACGCUAGCUACAGGCUUAACACAUGCAAGUCGAGGGGAAACGGCAUUAAGUGCUUGCACUUUUUGGACGUCGACCGGCGCACGGGUGAGUAACGCGUAUCCAACCUUCCCAUGACUAAGGGAUAACCUGCCGAAAGGCAGACUAAUACCUUAUGGUCUUCACUGACGGCAUCAGAUGUGAAGUAAAGAUUUAUCGGUUAUGGAUGGGGAUGCGUCUGAUUAGCUUGUUGGCGGGGUAACGGCCCACCAAGGCAACGAUCAGUAGGGGUUCUGAGAGGAAGGUCCCCCACAUUGGAACUGAGACACGGUCCAAACUCCUACGGGAGGCAGCAGUGAGGAAUAUUGGUCAAUGGGCGAGAGCCUGAACCAGCCAAGUAGCGUGCAGGAUGACGGCCCUAUGGGUUGUAAACUGCUUUUGUAUGGGGAUAAAGUCAGUCACGUGUGAUUGUUUGCAGGUACCAUACGAAUAAGGACCGGCUAAUUCCGUGCCAGCAGCCGCGGUAAUACGGAAGGUCCGGGCGUUAUCCGGAUUUAUUGGGUUUAAAGGGAGCGUAGGCUGGAGAUUAAGUGUGUUGUGAAAUGUAGACGCUCAACGUCUGACUUGCAGCGCAUACUGGUUUCCUUGAGUACGCACAACGUUGGCGGAAUUCGUCGUGUAGCGGUGAAAUGCUUAGAUAUGACGAAGAACUCCGAUUGCGAAAGCAGCUGACGGGAGCGCAACUGACGCUGAAGCUCGAAAGUGCGGGUAUCGAACAGGAUUAGAUACCCUGGUAGUCCGCACAGUAAACGAUGGAUGCCCGCUGUUGGUACCUGGUAUCAGCGGCUAAGCGAAAGCAUUAAGCAUCCCACCUGGGGAGUACGCCGGCUACGGUGAAACUCAAAGGAAUUGACGGGGGCCCGCACAAGCGGAGGAACAUGUGGUUUAA
RNAcentral lists this ribosomal RNA (925 nucleotides) under uncultured bacterium. Its description in RNAcentral is "bacterial SSU rRNA". It matches the Rfam family "Bacterial small subunit ribosomal RNA", at positions 33 to 949 of the family's 1533-position model. The record is from RNAcentral.